AUGUUUUGGAGCCUCUGCAAGGGACAAGCAUGGCAACAAGAUGGAUUUGACAAAUGGUACAAAACGAAUCCUCCGUGGUCCUUACCAGAUUCCAUGAGGGGUGCUCCAGAUCGCGUCGAGACGGUGGCAUUUGCGACGGCGGAGGUGGCGACCUCCCCUGACCCCGUCUUCCUCGGCGACGUCUUCUUCUCAGGCCUGAAGCAUGAAAAGCAUUUCACGGUCCGAAUUCCCCAAUGCAUGUGCCUCUCAACCAAACCUCCUCCUUGUGCCCACCACGAGAUCUCCAACCCCUCUGCUCUUUACAAUCCAGAAGACUCUUUGCACAUGCAAUGGCAGCAUGGACGAGGAGUUCUCCUCCCUUGCUGCAAGAUCCUGGUCACAGAUUGCCAUCGCACUCAUCUUGCAAGAAGAAUGCGAUCCCUGUGGAUGGGAUGUGAUCAGGUAGGAGGAGCAUUGUCACCGUGCCUUUUGUGGAGGUCAAUGUGCUCAGCCAAGAAUAGGAUCUCUCUCGGUUUUAGGCCACAGUUGAGCUCUAAAAUUAGAACGCCUGCCCCUCUGAAGAUCAGCAUCCUCUGGAAUGCACUGGAUGUAAACGCCUUCCAUCAUUCCCUGAAUUUUCUCAUUUGUUGGCCCCAUGGUUGGUAUUCCACAAGGGGAAAUGGCCUGCUCACUGUUUGUGUCCCUGUUGUUGGAAUAGUGGAAAGAAAAAGGGCACCCUAUGUCAUAUGCCACUUCAAUUAUGUCGCUUCUAGCAGAUGCUUCAUUGAGUCUGUUGUGACGUGUUGA
This 786-nucleotide ribosomal RNA is filed under the name Triticum aestivum (bread wheat). RNAcentral's name for it is "partial small subunit ribosomal RNA". The record is from RNAcentral. Lineage: Eukaryota; Viridiplantae; Streptophyta; Magnoliopsida; Poales; Poaceae.